UGCCAUACCAUACCAUACCAUGCAUAUGGUAUGGUAUGGCAUGGCAUGGCAUGGCAUGGCAUGGCAUGGCAUGGCAUGGCAUGGCAUGGCAUGGCAUGGCAUGGCAUGGCAUGGCAUGGCAUGGCAUGGCAUGGCAUGGCAUGGCAUGGUAUGGUAUGGUAUGGUAUGGCA
Molecule: non-coding RNA, 171 nt
Organism: Paramuricea clavata
Lineage: Eukaryota; Metazoa; Cnidaria; Anthozoa; Malacalcyonacea; Plexauridae
Source: the annotation of a GenBank genome assembly